GAUGAACGCUGGCGGCGUGCCUAAUACAUGCAAGUCGAGCGAACAGACGAGGAGCUUGCUCCUCUGACGUUAGCGGCGGACGGGUGAGUAACACGUGGAUAACCUACCUAUAAGACUGGGAUAACUUCGGGAAACCGGAGCUAAUACCGGAUAAUAUAUUGAACCGCAUGGUUCAAUAGUGAAAGACGGUUUUGCUGUCACUUAUAGAUGGAUCCGCGCCGCAUUAGCUAGUUGGUAAGGUAACGGCUUACCAAGGCAACGAUGCGUAGCCGACCUGAGAGGGUGAUCGGCCACACUGGAACUGAGACACGGUCCAGGCUCCUACGGGAGGCAGCAGUAGGGAAUCUUCCGCAAUGGGCGAAAGCCUGACGGAGCAACGCCGCGUGAGUGAUGAAGGUCUUCGGAUCGUAAAACUCUGUUAUUGGGGAAGAACAAAUGUGUAAGUAACUAUGCACGUCUUGACGGUACCUAAUCAGAAAGCCACGGCUAACUACGUG
RNAcentral lists this ribosomal RNA (497 nucleotides) under uncultured bacterium. Its description in RNAcentral is "partial 16S ribosomal RNA". It matches the Rfam family "Bacterial small subunit ribosomal RNA", at positions 28 to 507 of the family's 1533-position model. The record is from RNAcentral.